RNAcentral lists this ribosomal RNA (252 nucleotides) under uncultured bacterium. Its description in RNAcentral is "partial 16S ribosomal RNA". It matches the Rfam family "Bacterial small subunit ribosomal RNA", at positions 524 to 776 of the family's 1533-position model. The record is from RNAcentral.
UACGUAGGGUGCGAGCGUUGUCCGGAUUUAUUGGGCGUAAAGGGCUCGUAGGCGGCCUGUCGCGUCGGGAGUGAAAGCCCACUGCUUAACGGUGGGUCUGCUUCCGGUACGGGCGGGCUGGAGUAUGGCAGGGGAGACUGGAAUUCCUGGUGUAGCGGUGGAAUGCGCAGAUAUCAGGAGGAACACCGGUGGCGAAGGCGGGUCUCUGGGCCAUUACUGACGCUGAGGAGCGAAAGCGUGGGAGCGAACAGG